UCGAGCGGUAGCACAGGAGAGCUUGCUCUCUGGGUGACGAGCGGCGGACGGGUGAGUAAUGUCUGGGAAACUGCCUGAUGGAGGGGGAUAACUACUGGAAACGGUAGCUAAUACCGCAUAACGUCUACGGACCAAAGUGGGGGACCUUCGGGCCUCACGCCAUCAGAUGUGCCCAGAUGGGAUUAGCUAGUAGGUGGGGUAAUGGCUCACCUAGGCGACGAUCCCUAGCUGGUCUGAGAGGAUGACCAGCCACACUGGAACUGAGACACGGUCCAGACUCCUACGGGAGGCAGCAGUGGGGAAUAUUGCACAAUGGGCGCAAGCCUGAUGCAGCCAUGCCGCGUGUGUGAAGAAGGCCUUAGGGUUGUAAAGCACUUUCAGCGAGGAGGAAGGGUAGUGUGUUAAUAGCACAUUGCAUUGACGUUACUCGCAGAAGAAGCACCGGCUAACUCCGUGCCAGCAGCCGCGGUAAUACGGAGGGUGCAAGCGUUAAUCGGAAUUACUGGGCGUAAAGCGCACGCAGGCGGUUUGUUAAGUCAGAUGUGAAAUCCCCGCGCUUAACGUGGGAACUGCAUUUGAAACUGGCAAGCUAGAGUCUUGUAGAGGGGGGUAGAAUUCCAGGUGUAGCGGUGAAAUGCGUA
Molecule: ribosomal RNA, 641 nt
Filed under: Serratia plymuthica
Lineage: Bacteria; Pseudomonadati; Pseudomonadota; Gammaproteobacteria; Enterobacterales; Yersiniaceae
Description: bacterial SSU rRNA
Rfam family: Bacterial small subunit ribosomal RNA
Source: RNAcentral